This 714-nucleotide long non-coding RNA is filed under the name Sinocyclocheilus grahami. Its description in RNAcentral is "lncRNA (ENSSGRG00000030177.1)". The record is from RNAcentral. Lineage: Eukaryota; Metazoa; Chordata; Actinopteri; Cypriniformes; Cyprinidae.
AUGGAAACCUUAACAUUAUUUUUGUUUUUCGGGACCAGAUAACAGAAGAUAACCCGUAUCAGAAACGAGAAAAGUCUUCAGCUGUUCGAGAGGCCCUAAGACUAGAUCCAAAGCGUGUGCGCACAGAAGAAAUGUUUGCAGCCAGCUUCCCAGAUAUUAAAGGGCAUCAAAACCACCCCAUUUUUGGAAAGGAAUCAAGAGACAUUUGGAACAUCAUAAAAAAGGUCAAGGCAGGAAACAGGAAGUCCAGUGCAGACCAUCAUAAUCUACAGGCCUUGGUAAACACAUGGAAAGAAGAGGGCUGUGCCAUUGAGUACAGACCCUCUCAGGAGAAGGAGGAUGGUAGCGUGGUGAAGAUGCUGCUGUGCUUGCAGACGCUUACUGGAUGAAUCCUAUCGAGCUGGCAGAAAUUCACUACCACUCUUCUUUCUGUGGGUGAGGACAAAUGUGAGCUACGCCGCUGUUGGAGUGUUUGUCACUCAGACAGAGACUAAAGAGGACAUCGCAGAAGCCUUGAAGGUGUUUCAGAAGUGGAAUUCAGACUGGAAUCCAUCACACUUCAUGGUGGACUUCUGUGAGGCAGAAAUCAGUGCUUUAGAGGAGGUGUUUAAGGGUAUGUUUAGUAGUGUGUAAAUGUAUAUUUUAUUUGGACUAGAUGAUUUGGCAUGACAAAUUUAAUAGCAGCACUGCUAGAAUACAUUUAUACAAAAGCAC